AUACGGAGGGUGCGCGCGUUAAUCGGAAUUACUGGGCGUAAAGGGUGCGUAGGCGGCUUGAUGAGUCGGAUGUGAAAGCCCCGGGCUUAACCUGGGAAUUGCAUUCGAUACUGUCAGGCUAGAGUAUGUCAGAGGUUGGCGGAAUUCCUGGUGUAGCGGUGAAAUGCGUAGAUAUCAGGAGGAACACCAGUGGCGAAGGCGGCUAACUGGGGCAGUACUGACGCUGAGGCACGAAAGCGUGGGGAGCAAACAGGAUUAGAUACCCUAGUAGUCC
This 274-nucleotide ribosomal RNA is filed under the name uncultured bacterium. Its description in RNAcentral is "partial 16S ribosomal RNA". It matches the Rfam family "Bacterial small subunit ribosomal RNA", at positions 523 to 796 of the family's 1533-position model. The record is from RNAcentral.